Long non-coding RNA from Bombus impatiens (common eastern bumble bee), 130 nucleotides. RefSeq lists it as uncharacterized. The record is from RefSeq and is a predicted model, not a curated record. The transcript has 3 exons. Lineage: Eukaryota; Metazoa; Arthropoda; Insecta; Hymenoptera; Apidae.
CUGCUUAUAAUUCUCUUCUUUCUAGACGUUGUAAUCCAAAACAAAAUUUAUAUUCAAGAGCACAAUAAUAUGCACCUCUCCUUAUUUAGAAUCUUUCGUUGCAUUAAAUUCUAUACAAAAAGAUAUAAAG